Non-coding RNA from Gossypium hirsutum (cotton), 121 nucleotides. The record is from Rfam. Lineage: Eukaryota; Viridiplantae; Streptophyta; Magnoliopsida; Malvales; Malvaceae.
UAUUAAAAAUUCCAUCCAUUUCUACUGUUAAAAACUUAUGUAUCUAACAAAAUAACCAGACAGUUACACGUGACGUAUAGGGACCAGUUUUUAGCUGUAAUAAUGGAUGAAAUUUUUAACA